GCAUAUCAAUAAGCGGAGGAAAAGAAACCAACAGGGAUUGCCUCAGUAACGGCGAGUGAAGCGGCAACAGCUCAAAUUUGAAAUCUGGCCCCAGGCCCGAGUUGUAAUUUGCAGAGGAUGCUUUUGGCAAGGUGCCUUCCGAGUUCCCUGGAACGGGACGCCAUAGAGGGUGAGAGCCCCGUCUGGUUGGAUACCGAGCCUCUGUAAAGCUCCUUCGACGAGUCGAGUAGUUUGGGAAUGCUGCUCAAAAUGGGAGGUAUAUGUCUUCUAAAGCUAAAUACCGGCCAGAGACCGAUAGCGCACAAGUAGAGUGAUCGAAAGAUGAAAAGCACUUUGAAAAGAGAGUUAAAUAGCACGUGAAAUUGUUGAAAGGGAAGCGUUCAUGACCAGACUUGGACCGGUUGAUCAUCCAGUGUUCUCACUGGUGCACUCUGCCGGUUCAGGCCAGCAUCAGUUCGCCCCGGGGGAUAAAGGCUUUGGGAACGUAGCUCCUCGGAGUGUUAUAGCCCAUUGUGCAAUACCCUGGAGCGGACUGAGGUUCGCGCUCUGCAAGGAUGCUGGCGUAAUGGUCAUCAACGACCCGUCUUGAAACACGGACCAAGGAGUCGUCUUCGUAUGCGAGUGUUCGGGUGUAAAACCCCUACGCGUAAUGAAAGUGAACGCAGGUGAGAGCUUCGGCGCAUCAUCGACCGAUCCUGAUGUUCUCGGAUGGAUUUGAGUAAGAGCAUACGGGGCCGGACCCGAAAGAAGGUGAACUAUGCUUGUAUAGGGUGAAGCCAGAGGAAACUCUGGUGGAGGCUCGCAGCGGUUCUGACGUGCAAAUCGAUCGUCAAAUAUGAGCAUGGGGGCGAAAGACUAAUCGAACCUUCUAGUAGCUGGUUUCCGCCGA
This 889-nucleotide ribosomal RNA is filed under the name Parasarcopodium pandanicola. RNAcentral describes it as "eukaryotic LSU rRNA". It matches the Rfam family "Eukaryotic large subunit ribosomal RNA", at positions 38 to 964 of the family's 3401-position model. Lineage: Eukaryota; Fungi; Ascomycota; Sordariomycetes; Hypocreales; Stachybotryaceae. The record is from RNAcentral.